GUCCACGCCGUAAACGAUGCCGACUCGGUAUCCGGUGGCGAUUACGCCGUUGGGUGCCCUAGCUUACGCGAUAAGUCGGCCGCCUGGUGACUACGAGCGCAAGCUUAAAACUCAAAGGAAUUGACGGGGGCCCGCACAAGCAGCGGAGCGUGUGGUUUAAUUCGACGCAACGCGCAGAACCUUACCUAGCCUUGACAUGUGCCUGCAAGCCCCGUGAAAGCGGGUCGCCUGCGAGGGUGGCACACCGGUGCUGCAUGGCUGUCGU
This 265-nucleotide ribosomal RNA is filed under the name uncultured bacterium. Its description in RNAcentral is "partial 16S ribosomal RNA". It matches the Rfam family "Bacterial small subunit ribosomal RNA", at positions 793 to 1055 of the family's 1533-position model. The record is from RNAcentral.